RNAcentral lists this ribosomal RNA (288 nucleotides) under uncultured eukaryote. RNAcentral describes it as "partial small subunit ribosomal RNA". It matches the Rfam family "Eukaryotic small subunit ribosomal RNA", at positions 587 to 883 of the family's 1831-position model. The record is from RNAcentral.
AGCUCCAAUAGCGUAUAUUAAAGUUGUUGCGGUUAAAAGCUCGUAGUUGGAUUCCUGUAUGGAAAGUGCGUCCCUGCCCUUUGGAUGGGGGCUGCUUCUUUCUUUGCAUCAUCUGGAGUAGGUGUCCUCACUUAACUGUGAGGACAUUCGUACUCUGGGCAUUUACUUUGAGGAAAAGAGAGUGCUCCAAGCAGGCAAACGCCUGAAUACGUUAGCAUGGAAUAAUAGCAUCGGAUCAUCGUACAGCUGUUGGUGUCUGGACGAAGAUAAAGGUGAACAGGGAUUGUU